CGUGAAAUAUGCUUAAAGUCUUGCUCAUACCUCCCUGGAACUAUACACUGGUGAGCACAGUCGUGUGUGCUGCACAGCUUGGGUACCAGAGCAGAUGCUUCUGCACUGACUGUUCAUGUGGAAGACAGAAUAUGGCAGCUGACACAUUUAUGUCCUUUAUUUCGUGUGACUCAGGCACAAAGGGGUAUUCUCACCUAACUGAUCACAGGACGACAGUAUGAAAAAGAGGAAAACCAGCUGGAUUAUACUGGCAAAUACCUCAGGAAGGCAGAGCUAAUUGCUCCAAUUAUUACUGGAGAGCCAGGCAACUACAUAGCAUGCAAAAAAGGAAAAGCCUGGAAGAGUUCAUUAAAGAUUAUGUAAACGAAGAGUGCAUAUCAUUAGUAUAUCAUCUUGCAGAAGUUCCGUAAGUUCUUGUCCAUUCUGGCUCAUCUUCCCUCUGUUAAAAGAUAUGGUGGUAGUUGUCAAUAAGACCAUGAAGAGUUGAGAUCUAAGAAAAUGAUACAUCCAAGCCAAUGAGGCUUGGUUCUGUACAAAAAGACAAACAUCACAGGCAACUGAAAUCAUAUCUUGUUAAGAUUGUACAUUCUUAUAGAAUGGGGCCAUCAAGUGUUCUCUGCUACCUGCCCCCCACCAGCCUGGUGUUCUGCAACCAGUCUGCAUAGCUCCUAUCCUCACUUUAUCCUGUUACAGUGAAUAGUGAAAUAUACAAUAAGGAGUCACAAAAUUGAUAUUUGGUCUACAGUACCAUUACUUCAAAGAGAAAAGACUCUUCAGGAUGUGGCAGAUGGAAAAGACCAAGCUGAACUGAAGAUCAUUACCCUGCAUCAUUAUUUGGCCUCUUUCUGGGAGAGAGGAGAUACCCGUUCCCCCCUCCAGCCCCUUCUCCAUGAAGUUUUUAUGCAGUUUAUGGUACUUUUAAAGGAUUGCAACAACAGCGAUGUCUGGGCUGUUCAGCCAUUGAACUACGAAGAAUAGAAAUAGGAAAUGAAAGUUUAGAACUCUAAUAUGGGCUGCUUCUUCUGAAAUAGUGCACAGAAUUUCCUAUUAUACAAAUUUAUUGUUGUUUGAUUUCAUUUUUAUCUGCUAAUCCUAUUUUAGUGGCUAGUUCCCCCAAUGAGAUGAAAUAUACUCUACUUGGAAGGUGUGUUGAUGGGUAGACACAUCACAUUUAGUAGCUAGCAAUGUGGUGUGAAUGCUGUCUCUGAGUGAUACUGUUUUACGGUCUGUGGUACAGGCUGGCAUGAGCAAAAGUUUCAGUUCAGCCUUUCUAGUGAAUAAUACAUAAAUGAGUUGGAAGAGUUCUCGAGUGCUUACAGUAAUUCUUUCAGAUUCUAAGAAAGUGGAUCAUAAUGUUAUCCCUGGUGUAGGAUCAGGGCUUCCCAAGAAAAAAAAUGAUAAUGAUUAGACAGAUACCUUUUGUACUGUGUACUGUUUACAGAAAAAAAAAACCACUUUUCCUUCAACAGAAUGAUAUUUGACCACGUACUCCCUUAUGCCUUCUUUGAAAAGAAUUGUUGAGUCAAGAAAAUUGAGGCUAGCGCUGACGUCACCUUUAGCUCCAUUUUUUAAUUUUUAUUUUUUUAAAUUAUUCUUAUUCUUAGCAUGAUAUUAGUUGAAUGCAUCUAUGGCAAAACUGUGCUUUUGUUUAUGCUUUGGCUUAUAGACUCAGUUAGAAAAUCAACUUUUAUAACCAAGGAAAACAUGUAAUUCAUGCCUCAGUGUAAAGAAAACACCAUAUUAAAAUCAAUAAGGAAGGAAAGAAUGGAAGCCAUAUGAUUUCACUUAAUCUUUCAGAAAAGUCUGUUUUUACAACAGAGUGGAUGCUUUUUUAAAACCUAACAUAAGGGAGAUAGAUAAUUCACACAAGACCUAUAGCCAUGAACUGUCAAAUCAGUCAGCAGCAAAAUGAAAACAAUCCAGCGCUGUCAGCCACUCCAGCCAUUCUUUUACAGUGAAUGGACUUUUUUUUUUUAAAGACUUAAAUUUGAAAAAUUGGACUAUGCUGUUCCAUGGUUCCUGUGGAUAAAAGAACAGACUCAAGCAGAACUUACUCCUGGGGAUUAAAUUGUAGAUGUUCCCCCUUUCAGCUAUCUGUCUAGAAGCAGAAAUACAUCUGUCUAAGCACAUUGAGAAAGGCAGUUCCAUUUGUAAACCGAACAGGAGGAGGGAAAAAUGCUUUUGAGUAUGCAUUCAGGAUUAAGUUUUGAGAAUUUGCCUCUAAUUUCUUGGAAAAAAAAAAAGCGCUCUCUAUAACUGGCAGCCUUGUGAGAAACCCUGGGUGACAAAAAAGGCUGAUAGCAUCAUGUUGAGUCUUCUCAAAGAGAUGCAAGCCCAUGGGAGCAGGUGAAAUCACUGAUCUGCUUUGGAUAGUUAUCCUCUCGCCAACAGACAGGGCAUGUCACACACAGCCUCUUCUGGCAGAAGCUUGUCUACUCCUCACUCUCAGUCACCUUGCGCUUCAAGUGCUCCAACCUCCAACUGCCCCCAAACGCCAGUUUAUCUGUUUUUAUGAAGGGUUUGCUAGCACUGAAAGCAAGUGCUGCUCAGGCUUGCUCUGUAAGGUUCUGCAGUGUAAAACCCUGUUUUGGGACUGCUAGUUGCAUCUUUUGUGAACUGGCAACAGAAUGGGGAUACAUAACAAAGUAGUGAUCAAAGGCAAAUAUCUCAGGUCAGUUCUGAUAGCUUCUUUUCCUAACUCUUCCUCAGAUUGAACAGUACUUUAGACUAUGGUCUCACCCAUUUCAGCCACAUUUGUAUAUUAGACAUAGCUUUGACUGUAUGCUGAGCAGUGAUAUUUUGUGAAAUUUCAACACAACUCUUUACAGAGCAAUUUACCAUUUGAAGUGAGUAAUGGCAGAACAGGACUCAUCUUAAACUGUGGUGAUGGCCUUUCUUUACCGAGCAAAGCAAUCCUGAUGAAAUAAUUUUCUUCUAUGUGCUCCAUAGGGUUAGGCUACCAUCUAAUAGACUUUUGAAAUAAGAGUUAUCAAACGAAGAAUCUGAGCAAUUUCCUGAAAUUAUGUGUCAGCUUAAAAUAGUGGAAGAGUAAAUAGCAGGAAUAGCCAAAGCAAAAUGUGCCAGCUAUUAGACUGAAACGGGACUCAAAAGACAGCCUCAGAUUAUUGCUAUCUGCAGAGAGUGGGGACAAAUUGUUCUUGUUUUGAUAAUGACUCUUGGAAAUGGGUUAUUUGUAGCAAUAUGAAGGCCCAUUUAACUUGGAAAUUAAGAGACUAGUGAAGUUAGGCAUAAAACAGCUUUGGGCAGUAAAUUAUUUAAAGUGUGAAGGAAACUUCCUAAAUUAUUGCAGGAAAUUAAAACAUGGCAUUGCCUAUUAAAAGUGUGAAAAUGGGUAUAGACCUAAAGGGACCCCAAAUAAGCAGGUAUUUAAAUCCAUAAUCAUAUCCAAUUCAAAAGAUUUAUAGAACCUAGGAAUCAAUUUCCUUUCACUCCACAUUGCUUCUAAUGCCAGUAAAUAGAACUUAGUGGUAAGGAAAAUUCCUGUCGAUUUUAAUUUCUUAUAGCUAAGUGGCUAGAAAUUACACAGUGCUGGCUCAGACCUGUAUCAUGGAUUUUACAGUGCUAGCAAUAUCUUGGUACAUACAUCACAUCACAUUUCUGUGUAGCUUUAACCUGUUAUGCUGACACUUAAGUGAACUGUUGUCAAAGUUGUUGGACUGCAGGAGUUAAAAGCAGCUAUGCUGCCUUUUGAACUAAAGUGUUUUAAACUGGAGGUCUUUGAGAGGUGUAAAUUGACUGGCUUAUUUGGGUACAAUUGUAAAAAUGCUGAUGCACAGUCCAUCUACCCUAGAUAUUCUAGCUAACAGUAUUAACUCUGAUUGUAGACCUCCCUCUGACCAGUAAAAUCACUUGACACACAGCUAUUUGGAAAGUAGUUUCCUCUUAGAAUAUCACAGAAAAGCUUUUGUGUCAUGAUGGAAAAUUUAUAAUGUAAAAUAUGAAAUGUUCUCUGUGAGAUGGGAGAAAUAAAUAGGUUCUGGCUACAUGCAUUAGAUUUGGAGGUUUUCAGAAAGUGUUGUGAUUUUAAAUUCCCGGAGGUUUGGGGUUGAAAAAAACCUUUCUAUUAUUGAGUAAAAGAAUAUAGGAAAACUAGACAGAAAUUGCUGUAGAAAUACAUGGUUUUUAUUACCUUAAAUGGUAAUUUAACAGGUAUGUUUGGACCUUUAACAGAAACACAUGGUAUUUUCUCUAGAUCUUUAACAUUUGCUAACUAAUUCAGGUCAAGAGUACAGCAGUGCUUUUCUCCUGGCAGGUUGUUUGCUUGUUUGGUUGGUUUUUUAAUGUGUGCCAAAUAAAAGAGGAGGUGCAUAUGGCAUCCAUCAUCAUGUCAUGUUCAAGCAACAGCGUAUUGACUUGUAGCUUCUCUCUCACAAAUGUCUGUUAGAAAGGAUAGAAAAAUGCAUAGGACUACAAUGAUGUUCAGGCUUAAAAUCACCUACUGAGUUAUUUAAUUUAUUGUUCUCCAAAGAUCCUAGGAAGAAUCAAAAUAAUUUUCUAGAAAUUCUCUUCUUUGGUCAUAAAAUUUUUUGUUGUUGUUGACCAUUUGCUAUUCUGAUGUAAUAAAGGAAUUGGUUUUUCAUUGUACAAUCAUUGUACCUUUUGGGGCAAACCUGGCACCUCCUCCUCUGCAAAUAAGGACAAGCCCAUUGAAUUUUACCCAUUAAGCUACAUCCAUGUAGAGACCACAGCUCCCUAUAAAACUGUGUAUUUUAAAAAAUGACCAGUUACAUGGAUAAAUGAUGACUAUAUUGUGAACACUAUCUUUUUAUUGUGCUCUGAACGUCUUAUUUCACUGGAAACUACAUUUUCUAUUCUACUGAAGCAGAGCAGGUUCACCUUUCUACUUCACACAGACACUGAAGUGAACUUUUGCUUGUCUUAUUCAGUUUUUUGGAAGUUAUUAAAACUAAAGGAUGUAGUUCAUUCUUUUAAAACUAUAAACUGUCUUUGAAAAAGCCUUUUAUAUAAAAUCAUUAAAUAACUAUAUUGAAGAUACACCUACUGUUUUAUAUGCAUAUAUCCAGAGAACUGGUAAUUUUCAUCAGAAUAUCUCUAACUGUUCAAAUAUCUGAAGAACGCUAAAAUAAUUUCUUAUAUUUAAAACAUAAGUGACGUACCAAGAAAAUUCCAUAUAAUGGAAAGAUCCUUCUGUGGGAAAAAUUACUGACUUAAAAGGAGUUGGACUGAUCUACAUUAUCUCUAAAACUGACUCAUCUGGUGGAUAAACUCUAAUACACAGAUUUAUGUUGAAAGGAAUGUGCUAAAUUUUAUGUGAAUGUGUAAUUGGCAACGAUUCAGAUUUUUCACAAAAACGAAAUCAAAUUAACUCAAACCUAGGCACUGCUCCCUCCCUCUGGCUUGGAUCCCUUGCAACUUCUGCCUUCAAAGGGUUGGCUCUGAAAUGUUAUUGUUCCUCUCUGAGGGGUGUGAUGGGAAUGUGUAUUAUGCAAUUGGUUUCUUUGCAGAUCACAUUCUUAUCUCUCACGGGCAACGAGAAAAUUAUACUUCAGGGUUUAUUUUUAAUUAAAUGCUGCAGUUGAAUAUUGGAUUUUACAAAGGUGCUGAACAAAGACCAAUGUUUUCUGUUGUAGCUUCACCUUAAUUUUAAACCAGAUUGAUUAAAAUAUAUUUUUUUACUGUUUAAAAUGAAUACAGAAAUAGCUCUGUCCAAUAAACUUAAACUGAUGCAAGUCCUUUGCAUUCAUAAAAUAUAAUACGUAUACCAUGGGUGCUGGUUUUGUUUAUGAUUUCAUUUUUACUUUUCAUCAGACAUACAACUAAUAACUGACAAAAUACAUUGAACAGAAAAGGUCCUGGGAGUCAGAAGUAGAGAAAGAUUUCUCUGGGGCAUUCUAAGAGUGACUGAGGGUUCUUGUAUUGUUUUGUUUUUUCAAGUGCCAAUUCAAUUCA
Long non-coding RNA from Aquila chrysaetos chrysaetos, 5931 nucleotides. RefSeq lists it as uncharacterized. The record is from RefSeq and is a predicted model, not a curated record. The transcript is spliced from 7 exons. NCBI's taxonomy places the organism in Eukaryota, Metazoa, Chordata, Aves, Accipitriformes, Accipitridae.